CAAACUGGAGAUGGCGACCGGCGCACGGGUGAGUAACACGUAUCCAACCUGCCGAUAACUCGGGGAUAGCCUUUCGAAAGAAAGAUUAAUACCCGAUGGCAUAAUAGAACCGCAUGGUUUGAUUAUUAAAGAAUUUCGGUUAUCGAUGGGGAUGCGUUCCAUUAGGCAGUCGGUGGGGUAACGGCCCACCAAACCUUCGAUGGAUAGGGGUUCUGAGAGGAAGGUCCCCCCACAUUGGAACUGAGACACGGUCCAAACUCCUACGGGAGGCAGCAUG
Molecule: ribosomal RNA, 277 nt
Filed under: uncultured bacterium
Lineage: Bacteria
Description: partial 16S ribosomal RNA
Rfam family: Bacterial small subunit ribosomal RNA
Source: RNAcentral